Molecule: long non-coding RNA, 639 nt
Organism: Carassius carassius (crucian carp)
Lineage: Eukaryota; Metazoa; Chordata; Actinopteri; Cypriniformes; Cyprinidae
Exons: 3
Source: RefSeq, a predicted model, not a curated record
GGGGCUGCCAGUGUUUAUGCCCUGCUGAGGCUGCGGUGUAUUUGUUUGCUCCAGGAUCCCGCAGAGCAUUUGCUCACUCCUUGAACAAUAAACAUUGGUGAUUGCUGACGAAGGCCCUGGUCCCAGCUUCUCCGAACUCCGGUGAUUUAGAGGUGCCCAGCGGUCUACCGAUGUAUCCCUGCCCAUGGCACAGAGACCAAGGCCUUUAUUAACCCCCCAGAGCCACGUGGAGAACGUUUUAUGAUGGAUGGACACACUUUUUUGGGCUUCAUAAUCUUGACAACUAUUCACUGCCAUUAUAAAGCUUAGAAGAGCUCUGAUUGUAUUCAUCUGAAGAAAGAAAGUCAUAUACACAGAGGAUGGCUUCAGGAACAUAGAAGUUAUGAUGAAGAAUGAAGGAAACCAAACCAUUUCAGUUCCCAUUGACUUUCAUGGUAUUUUUGUCAGUGGAAGUAAAAAAAAAAAAACUUGCUCAGAAGAAAGAAAUGCAUACAGGUUUGAUACGACAUGAGUUUGAGUAAAUUAUUUUUGGGCGAACGCUCCAUUUAGAGCACAAAAACAUUUCCCUCCUUUUCAGAAUGUGUAAAUAAUGCUUUCCUUCUCUUUAACUAAUCUAAACGGUCCCAUAUUUAACUCAAA